GAAAUGCGAUAAGUAAUGUGAAUUGCAGAAUUCAGUGAAUCAUCGAAUCUUUGAACGCACUUUGCGCUCCUUGGUAUUCCUUGGAGCAUGCCUGUUUGAGUAUCAUGAAAUCUUCAAAGUAAAUCUUUUGUUAACUCAAUUGGUUUCUACUUUGGUAUUGGAGGUCUUUGCAGCUUCACACCUGCUCCUCUUUGUUCAUUAGCUGGAUCUCAGUGUUAUGCUUGGUUCCACUCGGCGUGAUAAGUUAUCUAUCGCUGAGGACACUGUAAAAGGUGGCCAAGGUAAAUGCAGAUGAACCGCUUCUAAUAGUCCAUUGACUUGGACAAUACUUUUAUGAUCUGAUCUCAAAUCAGGUAGGACUACCCGCUGAACUUAAGC
RNAcentral lists this unclassified non-coding RNA (378 nucleotides) under plant metagenome. RNAcentral's name for it is "partial contains 5.8S ribosomal RNA, internal transcribed spacer 2, and large subunit ribosomal RNA". The stretch from base 1 to 105 matches the Rfam family "5.8S ribosomal RNA", at positions 50 to 154 of the family's 154-position model. The record is from RNAcentral.